GAACGAAGCACCUGAGAAUGAUUCUUCGGAUGAAGUCUCUUGUGACUGAGUGGCGGACGGGUGAGUAACGCGUGGGUAACCUGCCUCACACAGGGGGAUAACAGUUGGAAACGACCGCUAAUACCGCAUAACCCGCUGGUGCCGCAUGGCACUGACGGAAAAGAUUUUAUCGGUGUGAGAUGGACCCGCGUCUGAUUAGCCAGUUGGCAGGGUAACGGCCUACCAAAGCGACGAUCAGUAGCCGGCCUGAGAGGGUGAACGGCCACAUUGGGACUGAGACACGGCCCAGACUCCUGCGGGAGGCAGCAGUGGGGAAUAUUGCACAAUGGGGGAAACCCUGAUGCAGCGACGCCGCGUGAGUGAAGAAGUAUUUCGGUAUGUAAAGCUCUAUCAGCAGGGAAGAAAAUGACGGUACCUGAUUAAGAAGCCCCGGCUAACUACGUGCCAGCAGCCGCGGUAAUACGUAGGGGGCAAGCGUUAUCCGGAUUUACUGGGUGUAAAGGGAGCGUAGACGGUGAUGCAAGUCAGAAGUGAAAGCCCGGGGCUCAACUCCGGGACUGCUUUUGAAACUGUGUGACUGGAGUGCAGGAGAGGUAAGCGGAAUUCCUGGUGUAGCGGUGAAAUGC
Molecule: ribosomal RNA, 626 nt
Filed under: uncultured bacterium
Lineage: Bacteria
Description: bacterial SSU rRNA
Rfam family: Bacterial small subunit ribosomal RNA
Source: RNAcentral